Molecule: ribosomal RNA, 253 nt
Filed under: uncultured bacterium
Lineage: Bacteria
Description: partial 16S ribosomal RNA
Rfam family: Bacterial small subunit ribosomal RNA
Source: RNAcentral
UACGUAGGGUGCAAGCGUUGUCCGGAAUUAUUGGGCGUAAAGAGCUCGUAGGCGGUUUGUCGCGUCGGCUGUGAAAACCUGAGGCUCAACCUCGGGCCUGCAGUCGAUACGGGCAAACUAGAGUUCGGUAGGGGAGACUGGAAUUCCUGGUGUAGCGGUGGAAUGCGCAGAUAUCAGGAGGAACACCAAUGGCGAAGGCAGGUCUCUGGGCCGAAACUGACGCUGAGGAGCGAAAGCGUGGGGAGCGAACAGG